Monodelphis domestica (gray short-tailed opossum) is the source of this 340-nucleotide long non-coding RNA. The record is from Ensembl. NCBI's taxonomy places the organism in Eukaryota, Metazoa, Chordata, Mammalia, Didelphimorphia, Didelphidae.
AUGAAGAGAAGCAAUCUUUAUGAGGACAGUCAAGGCUCUUCUGACCUGGUAAUGAAUAAAGAGCAAAUGGAACAGAGGAGGACCAAGGAACACAAGCAAAAACACAGAAAUUCCAGCGAAUUGGACACACAGGCUUUGGAAGAACUCAAAACGCAAUUUAAAAAACAAAAAAUGGACUGCAGAAGUGGAAUACAGAAGUGAAAGAGUGUCAAGGAAUUGAAACUCAGGAUGAAUGAGAUGGUAAUGAUCUACCUAGCUUCCCUCCAUGAGUUCAAAUCAUCAAUUCCAGAAUGUAUUCCAGGACAAUAAAGGAUGCUGUCCUCAGAUAUUUUCUUUGAAA